Small nuclear RNA from Callithrix jacchus (white-tufted-ear marmoset), 107 nucleotides. The record is from Ensembl. NCBI's taxonomy places the organism in Eukaryota, Metazoa, Chordata, Mammalia, Primates, Cebidae.
GUGCUCACUUUGGCAGCAUAUAUACUAAGAUUAAAGCAAGACAGAGAAGAUUAGCAUGGCCCCUGCUCAAGGAUGACACACAAAUUCAUGAAGCGUUUCAUAUUUUU